UACGUAGGUGGCAAGCGUUUGUCCGGAAUUAUUGGGCGUAAAGAGCUCGUAGGCGGUCUGUUGCGUCGGCUGUGAAAACCCGGGGCUCAACUCCGGGCCUGCAGCCGAUACGGGCAGACUAGAGUUCGGCAGGGGAGACUGGAAUUCCUGGUGUAGUGGUGAAAUGCGUAGAGAUCCGGAGGAACACCAAAGGCGAAGGCAGUGUCCUGGGGGAGUACCUGACGGCUCAGGGUGCGAAAAGCCAGGGGAGCGGAACGGGG
Molecule: ribosomal RNA, 260 nt
Filed under: uncultured bacterium
Lineage: Bacteria
Description: partial 16S ribosomal RNA
Rfam family: Bacterial small subunit ribosomal RNA
Source: RNAcentral